Poecilia reticulata (guppy) is the source of this 344-nucleotide long non-coding RNA. RefSeq lists it as uncharacterized. NCBI's taxonomy places the organism in Eukaryota, Metazoa, Chordata, Actinopteri, Cyprinodontiformes, Poeciliidae. The record is from RefSeq and is a predicted model, not a curated record.
GUGCAUAUAAUAUGUGAUUUGAAGUGAUAUGCAUGACAAAAACUGGYAAUUUCAAAAGUAAACAAGAAAAAGGAAAAUUUCACUCCUGGAAAAUUGAGAAGUAAAACUAAAUCUGCUUAAGAUGGACAAAAUAUCAAUCACCACGGGAACCAACAAUGCUCAGGACUGCCUUGAACUGGAAGCUGCAACAAUACUGUCACAGUAUGGUGGAGUGAUCAGAACUGAACUGASAGACAUUUCCAACAACAAAUAACAUCAGCCUGCAUAGAGGAGUCAACAUGAGGCUUUUCAAACUAAGGACUCUGUAAAACAUGGUGAAGUUCAUUAAAUGCAGCUGAAUAUCA